GCGCCCAUAGCUCAGGUGGAUAGAGCAGCGGUUUCCUAAACCGCAGGCCACAGGUUCGAGUCCUGUUGGGCGCACCA
Molecule: transfer RNA, 77 nt
Filed under: Deltaproteobacteria bacterium
Lineage: Bacteria; Pseudomonadati; Myxococcota; Myxococcia
Description: tRNA-Arg
Rfam family: tRNA
About the family: Transfer RNA (tRNA) molecules are approximately 80 nucleotides in length.
Source: RNAcentral